UCUCAGUGUACUGACAUUAGAGGCUGCC
This 28-nucleotide non-coding RNA is filed under the name Rattus norvegicus (Norway rat). The record is from RNAcentral. Lineage: Eukaryota; Metazoa; Chordata; Mammalia; Rodentia; Muridae.